AUUGAACGCUGGCGGCAUGCCUUACACAUGCAAGUCGAACGGUAACGCGGGGCAACCUGGCGACGAGUGGCGAACGGGUGAGUAAUGUAUCGGAACGUGCCCAGUAGUGGGGGAUAGCCCGGCGAAAGCCGGAUUAAUACCGCAUACGACCUACGGGUGAAAGGGGGGGAUCGCAAGACCUCUCGCUAUUGGAGCGGCCGAUAUCAGAUUAGCUAGUUGGUGGGGUAAAGGCCCACCAAGGCAACGAUCUGUAGCUGGUCUGAGAGGACGACCAGCCACACUGGGACUGAGACACGGCCCAGACUCCUACGGGAGGCAGCAGUGGGGAAUUUUGGACAAUGGGCGCAAGCCUGAUCCAGCCAUGCCGCGUGCGGGAAGAAGGCCCUUCGGGGUUGUAAACCGCUUUGUCAGGGAAGAAACGGUCUGAUCUAAUAAAUUAGGGCUAAUGACGGUACCUGAAGAAUAAGCACCGGCUAACUACGUAGCCAGCAGCCGCGGUAAU
This 502-nucleotide ribosomal RNA is filed under the name uncultured bacterium. RNAcentral's name for it is "bacterial SSU rRNA". It matches the Rfam family "Bacterial small subunit ribosomal RNA", at positions 29 to 524 of the family's 1533-position model. The record is from RNAcentral.